Molecule: ribosomal RNA, 1566 nt
Filed under: Enterococcus mundtii
Lineage: Bacteria; Bacillati; Bacillota; Bacilli; Lactobacillales; Enterococcaceae
Description: bacterial SSU rRNA
Rfam family: Bacterial small subunit ribosomal RNA
Source: RNAcentral
UAUGAGAGUUUGAUCCUGGCUCAGGACGAACGCUGGCGGCGUGCCUAAUACAUGCAAGUCGAACGCUUCUUUUCCCACUGGAGCUUGCUCCACCGGGAAAAGAGGAGUGGCGAACGGGUGAGUAACACGUGGGUAACCUGCCCAUCAGAAGGGGAUAACACUUGGAAACAGGUGCUAAUACCGUAUAACAAUCGAAACCGCAUGGUUUCGUUUUGAAAGGCGCUUUACGGUGCCGCUGAUGGAUGGACCCGCGGUGCAUUAGCUAGUUGGUGAGGUAACGGCUCACCAAGGCCACGAUGCAUAGCCGACCUGAGAGGGUGAUCGGCCACAUUGGGACUGAGACACGGCCCAAACUCCUACGGGAGGCAGCAGUAGGGAAUCUUCGGCAAUGGACGAAAGUCUGACCGAGCAACGCCGCGUGAGUGAAGAAGGUUUUCGGAUCGUAAAACUCUGUUGUUAGAGAAGAACAAGGGUGAGAGUAACUGUUCACCCCUUGACGGUAUCUAACCAGAAAGCCACGGCUAACUACGUGCCAGCAGCCGCGGUAAUACGUAGGUGGCAAGCGUUGUCCGGAUUUAUUGGGCGUAAAGCGAGCGCAGGCGGUUUCUUAAGUCUGAUGUGAAAGCCCCCGGCUCAACCGGGGAGGGUCAUUGGAAACUGGGAGACUUGAGUGCAGAAGAGGAGAGUGGAAUUCCAUGUGUAGCGGUGAAAUGCGUAGAUAUAUGGAGGAACACCAGUGGCGAAGGCGGCUCUCUGGUCUGUAACUGACGCUGAGGCUCGAAAGCGUGGGGAGCAAACAGGAUUAGAUACCCUGGUAGUCCACGCCGUAAACGAUGAGUGCUAAGUGUUGGAGGGUUUCCGCCCUUCAGUGCUGCAGCUAACGCAUUAAGCACUCCGCCUGGGGAGUACGACCGCAAGGUUGAAACUCAAAGGAAUUGACGGGGGCCCGCACAAGCGGUGGAGCAUGUGGUUUAAUUCGAAGCAACGCGAAGAACCUUACCAGGUCUUGACAUCCUUUGACCACUCUAGAGAUAGAGCUUCCCCUUCGGGGGCAAAGUGACAGGUGGUGCAUGGUUGUCGUCAGCUCGUGUCGUGAGAUGUUGGGUUAAGUCCCGCAACGAGCGCAACCCUUAUUGUUAGUUGCCAUCAUUUAGUUGGGCACUCUAGCAAGACUGCCGGUGACAAACCGGAGGAAGGUGGGGAUGACGUCAAAUCAUCAUGCCCCUUAUGACCUGGGCUACACACGUGCUACAAUGGGAAGUACAACGAGUCGCGAAGUCGCGAGGCUAAGCUAAUCUCUUAAAGCUUCUCUCAGUUCGGAUUGUAGGCUGCAACUCGCCUACAUGAAGCCGGAAUCGCUAGUAAUCGCGGAUCAGCACGCCGCGGUGAAUACGUUCCCGGGCCUUGUACACACCGCCCGUCACACCACGAGAGUUUGUAACACCCGAAGUCGGUGAGGUAACCUUUUUGGAGCCAGCCGCCUAAGGUGGGAUAGAUGAUUGGGGUGAAGUCGUAACAAGGUAGCCGUAUCGGAAGGUGCGGCUGGAUCACCUCCUUUCUAAGGAA